UUCUUUAGGUUUCAAUCUGAAGUGAAACUUGAGGAAGAUUCAGAAGCUCUUAAAGGGAUCCAGAUUGAGUGAUUGCACAACAAUAUGAUCUCAAUCAAGUUGUAAAGCAGAUUGUGCGGAUUCUGAUACCCUGACCUAAAGACAAUUCAGUACUUAGUACUUGUCGGGUAUUCAGAUUCCAAUUGGAUAAUUUUGGCUCUGUUACGAGGGACAAGCCAAUUUGGUUGCUUAGGGUUAUUACAAAGGAGAAGGUUAUGAAGAUUAUGGAAACAGAAUCUUCAAGUUUAGGACUCUACAUCUUAGGGGACUCAACGACCUUCAUGAUUGAACUAAAGCACCAUUGACGAGACUCGGGUUAAGGAUAUUACAGUGAGCUAGAAGAUGAAGCUUCAUACAACAUUUCAAGGACUUUGCAAUUGCAGAUCCAAUGGAAUCUGUAUUCUCUUUCUUCACCAGCUCUUAUUGGUUGCUAUCCAACACCUGAUGAUCGUCACAGACAUGGUAUGACU
RNAcentral lists this long non-coding RNA (509 nucleotides) under Daucus carota (carrot). RNAcentral's name for it is "long non-coding RNA (DCAR_LNC006080)". Lineage: Eukaryota; Viridiplantae; Streptophyta; Magnoliopsida; Apiales; Apiaceae. The record is from RNAcentral.